This 467-nucleotide ribosomal RNA is filed under the name uncultured bacterium. RNAcentral's name for it is "partial 16S ribosomal RNA". It matches the Rfam family "Bacterial small subunit ribosomal RNA", at positions 28 to 507 of the family's 1533-position model. The record is from RNAcentral.
GACGAACGCUGGCGGCGUGCUUAACACAUGCAAGUCGAACGGAAAGGCCCUGCUUUUGUGGGGUGCUCGAGUGGCGAACGGGUGAGUAACACGUGAGUAACCUGCCCUUGACUUUGGGAUAACUUCAGGAAACUGGGGCUAAUACCGGAUAGGAGCUCCUGCUGCAUGGUGGGGGUUGGAAAGUUUCGGCGGUUGGGGAUGGACUCGCGGCUUAUCAGCUUGUUGGUGGGGUAGUGGCUUACCAAGGCUUUGACGGGUAGCCGGCCUGAGAGGGUGACCGGCCACAUUGGGACUGAGAUACGGCCCAGACUCCUACGGGAGGCAGCAGUGGGAAUAUUGCACAAUGGGCGGAAGCCUGAUGCAGCAACGCCGCGUGCGGGGUGACGGCCUUCGGGUUGUAAACCGCUUUCGCCUGUGACGAAGCGUGAGUGACGGUAAUGGGUAAAGAAGCACCGGCUAACUACGUG